RNAcentral lists this ribosomal RNA (896 nucleotides) under Colletotrichum gloeosporioides. Its description in RNAcentral is "LSU rRNA". It matches the Rfam family "Eukaryotic large subunit ribosomal RNA", at positions 38 to 963 of the family's 3401-position model. The record is from RNAcentral. Lineage: Eukaryota; Fungi; Ascomycota; Sordariomycetes; Glomerellales; Glomerellaceae.
GCAUAUCAAUAAGCGGAGGAAAAGAAACCAACAGGGAUUGCCUCAGUAACGGCGAGUGAAGCGGCAACAGCUCAAAUUUGAAAUCUGGCCCUAGGCCCGAGUUGUAAUUUGCAGAGGAUGCUUUUGGUGCGGUGCCUUCCAAGUUCCCUAGAACGGGACGCCAGAGAGGGUGAGAGCCCCGUACAGUUGGACACCAAGCCUUUGUAAAGCUCCUUCGACGAGUCGAGUAGUUUGGGAAUGCUGCUCAAAAUGGGAGGUAUAUUUCUUCUAAAGCUAAAUACCGGCCAGAGACCGAUAGCGCACAAGUAGAGUGAUCGAAAGAUGAAAAGCACUUUGAAAAGAGGGUUAAACAGCACGUGAAAUUGUUAAAAGGGAAGCGCUUGUGACCAGACUUGCGUCCGGUGAAUCACCCAGCUCUCGCGGCUGGGGCACUUCGCCGGCUCAGGCCAGCAUCAGCUCGCUGUCGGGGACAAAAGCUUCAGGAACGUAGCUCUCUUCGGGGAGUGUUAUAGCCUGUUGCAUAAUACCCUUCGGCGGGCUGAGGUACGCGCUCCGCAAGGAUGCUGGCAUAAUGGUCAUCAGCGACCCGUCUUGAAACACGGACCAAGGAGUCAACCUUAUGUGCGAGUGUUCGGGUGUCAAACCCCUACGCGUAAUGAAAGUGAACGCAGGUGAGAGCUUCGGCGCAUCAUCGACCGAUCCUGAUGUUCUCGGAUGGAUUUGAGUAAGAGCAUAUAGGGUUGGACCCGAAAGAGAGGUGAACUAUGCGUGUAUAGGGUGAAGCCAGAGGAAACUCUGGUGGAGGCUCGCAGCGGUUCUGACGUGCAAAUCGAUCGUCAAAUAUGCGCAUGGGGGGCGAAAGACUAAUCGAACCUUCUAGUAGCUGGUUUCCGCCG